GGGGCUGUGGCUCAGUGGUAGAGCGCUCGCCUAGCAUGUGUGAGGCCCUGGGUUCGAUCCUCAGCACCACA
Molecule: transfer RNA, 71 nt
Filed under: Marmota monax (woodchuck)
Lineage: Eukaryota; Metazoa; Chordata; Mammalia; Rodentia; Sciuridae
Description: tRNA.Ala
Rfam family: tRNA
About the family: Transfer RNA (tRNA) molecules are approximately 80 nucleotides in length.
Source: RNAcentral